GCAGACCACAAGACCAGAGUCUUUCUUCAGAAUCAAUGGACAAAGUCAAGGACAAUACACUUUGUUACUAUGUGAGAUUGCAAUUCUUGAAUUCUUAAAUUUGUUUGAGUGUUUCAUUCAGUGAGUUUUAGACUUUAAGGACUGUGAUGGUUAAUACUGUGUGUCAACUUGAUUGGUUCGAGGGCUACAAAGUAUUCAUCCUGGCUGUGUCUGUGAGGGUGUUGCCAAAAGAGAUUAACAUUUGAGUCCCUGGGCUGGGGCAGGCAGAUCCACCCUUAAUCUGGUGGGCACAAUCUAAUCAACUUCCAGCAAAUAUAAAGCAGGCAGAAAAAUGUGAAAAGGGGAGACAGGCCUAGCCUCCCAGUCUACAUCUUUCUCCUGUGCCGGAUGCUUCCUGCCCUCAUCAUUGGACUCCAUAUUCUUCAGUUUGGGGACUCAGACUGGCUCUCCUUGCUCCUUCAGCUUGCAGACAGCCUACUAUGGAACCUUGUGGUCAUGGUUCUGAGAAGCAGUGAAGCUAAUGUUCUGAAGGAGACAAAGAAGUAUGUUGCUGUGUUCCCAAGACAAAUAUCAAAGACGUUUCAGUCCUCAGGUAAUUUACUAGAUCUGCUUCUAGAACUAUUUACUUCGAAGCUUCAGUAAAAAUGAGAGAGAUGCCAAAUGGUGUUUAGUUUAGCAGACAGACAUCUGGGCCCUUCUCCUGGAUCUGGCCUUGCUGACAGGAAAUUUCUCCUGACAAUUGCAGGGCUUUGGUGAGGUGGAAGAAAUUUGUCUUCUCUGAAGAUAAAAUUCCAAAUUAUUAUUUUUUGAAUAGUCUCCAUUAAAUUUUCUGUAGUGCACUGAAAGCUUGUCCUUGCAGUUAACAACUACUGCCAUCGCUCCACAUUUACUUUAGGAAUGAAGGCUGAAUUAUUUAAGAAUGAAGAAGGGAUUACUAGAUAGAACAAGACUGCAGAGCCCUAUUUCAUGGGGUGGCAUUAACCUCAGAGGAUCAAAUCAGUGAUUGUUAGCAAAGUGCUUCAAACAGUGACUGCCACACAGAAGGGCUUGCUUACUAACUCAAUAAAUUAAAACAAAACUGAGGGAGAAUGUGCCUUCUCUGGGGAUAGUCCUGGGACUUCUGAGAAAAUCCUAAAGGACUCAGCUAUUGCCCUCAAAGCAGGAAUUUGCAAGUGAGCUGAGCUCAACAUGCAAUAUGUAGUGAUUUCUAACUUUUUAAGCCUUGGUGGUUUGGAAGAGUAACAAAUGCUUCCAAAUGAUGUGUAGUUUCCGUCCAGAUGGCAGAAGGAAGGGCCAUCAAAUCUGCCAGGAUCCCCAGGAAAUAUAGUGAGAUAUUAUUAUCAUUGUUUUCCAGACAUGGAAAUUGAGUCUCAAAGAGGUUAGGUUUCUUGCUCAGGUUAACUCAGAGUGAGGAUUUAAGCCCACACUUCUCUCAAGCCCACAUCAAGAUGCUUCCACGGCACUACUCAAGGCAACCAGGCAUGACCAGUAGUCUCAUUAGAACAAGUAUGUAUGUAUAUAUGCAUUUCUACUUCUCUUUUUGAUCUUAUGGAACUCUGUUCCUCGUGAGACAAUAAUUCUUGUUGCAUGCUUUAAAUUGACAAAGUUCCCUUCACUGAACUAAUACUUUCCACGGUGGACUCAGAGAGAUUAUGGAGUGCUUAUUAGGUGAUAUGAGACCUAGGAGAAGCUGUUAUAUGCUUUCGGAAAAUGGGAAUUUGUAUCUUCUUUAUAAAAAAUAACUGGUUGAGUCAGGAAAUAAUUUAAAAGUUUGGUCGUAUCUGAUCAACGUUCACUCAUUUGGUAAACCUUUUUUGAAAGCAGACUUUCAUGUGAGAGCUCUACUGGGCUUGGGGAAUAUAAAAAUCAGAAACACAUGCAUCUUGUAAUGAGCUCACAACGUAGUGUAUACACAAUCUAAUUGUAUAACUUUGUUAUUCAAGGCAUUAAAUAUUGCAAAAGAAACAAAAACGAUUAACCACUGAGCUAAUGUGUUCCACCAAAAAUUAAUCUGUUUCAGCAAAAAGUUUUGUGUAUGCAUACAAAUAUAGACACAUAAAGGUAGGUAUAGGUAUUUGCAAUCACUUUCUCUCUUAUGUAUGCCAAAGUCUAGCCAUAAUGAGUAGCAAAAGGCUAGGAUAAUUUAUAUUAGAAAUAAAAAAAAAAAAGAAAUGAGAUCAAAAUACUAAUAAAAAGGUGACAAAAUACAUUCAAUUAAACUAAAUUGUACUUACACUAUAAUGACUACUAGCUACUAUUUGUGGAACAGCUAGCUAUCUGGGUCAGAAGCCAUGUAUUUUUAAUACUAUGUCUCAUUUAUUUACUUAUUAUGGGGUAUUUUUCACGUUACAACCCAACGAUAUGUUUCACUUGCUGUCUGUGACUGGCAGUACAGUAAUCCAAGUACCAUGAGCUGUUAUGUUUUCAUCCUCAUUAGACAAUGUUCAUGAAACACGUAGCCAGCAUAAGCAUCUUAUCCUUCUCUCUUCACUCACUGAAAAUACAUAUUGGAUAUCUGCUAUUAACUGUACCAUACAUCUCCUAAUAUUUUCUUAAGACUUAAAUUUCGGGGAACCAGAGGUAAAAUACGGUAAAAAGCCCACAUUCUGCUUCUCAUUUAAAAAACUCCAAAGCUUGGUUUAUAUGUUCUAAUUUUGUAGAUGGUAUGAAAACUGCUUUGUGAUUAAUUUUGAAAUUGCACAUAUCACGAGAAGAUGAUUAUUUCUAGAGACCUUACGCCUAAAUGUGCUUUAGAAUAACACACUAAAUAACAGGAAUUACAAUGAUGAGGUGAAAUCAUUACCUCAUUUUAAUCUUUCUACGCCUGUCCUUUAGUUCCUAAAACUGAUUUUUUUUUUCCUAUUUAGUUCUUUGAAUCUAUUUUUGCUUUAGCAUAAUGAAUAACUUUUAUUUUCUGCAACUGCUGGAGCCUAUACCUUAUUCUUCAAGAUAAGUGGCUAAGAAAUGAGUGCUGUGGGCUCUGAUUUUUCAGAAAAAAACAUUCAGGAUGAAUCUGUAGAAUCAACUGUGUCUUUUGUGUCUGUUAUUUUUCACUGAGGGCAAAUGGAUCUACCUCACCCUCAGACCCCCAUCAGGCAAGUUUGCCUUUCCUUUUCCCAUCCGCAAGACAAAUUAAGAAUGCUGAAACCUUUCACUCAUAACAAAACAGUGAUAAAGCAGGUAACAAGACCUCACAUUAAUCAGGUCUUUCAAAGAAGAGGCCGCAACCUGCACCCUUUGUCUAGCCUGCUGGUAGGUGGGUUUUUUUCAGACUCUUUUUAGGGGCCUAGCAUUCUUUAGUUCGGCAGCACAUUCUCCUUGGAAAUGUUUCACUUUUCAGACAGCCUCUGUGUUGAUCAAAAAACCCAGAGAGCCACUACAGAAACCUGAACUUCUAAUGAUCUUCUUUUAUAUUUUCUUACAAUGGACAAUGGCUCUCUCAAUGCUAAUGGCAACCGUACACAGGCAACAAUGCAAAGAGAUGGAGGGUGGAGAGAGUAGCCACUAUCACAAGAUGUGCUGUAUCAUCUUGGCGGAAAAAAAAAUCCCGUUUUCUGUAGCCAAACUGUUGCUAUCUCUUGUUGAAAAUAUUCAAGGUUCCUGCAAACCAAUGCUAAGAGGAGAAAAGAUGAGAGUAGAUGAGUAAUUUUCUUCUCAGGAGGAAAACAUUACCUUCAGUUAAAUGGUAAUAGACCAGUUUUCUUGUAUUGUAAUCUUUUUCACUAACGUCACAAAAAUAGCAUAAUUUCUCCCUUAACUUCCUUCAUGGCAGCCUUCGACCUGUUGUUUCCAGGCUAAAUUGUGCGUACGCUGUACAUACAAUUACGUUGAGUCAAGCACGCCCUCUACUGAUCAAUAAAAAUAUUACCGAACAGGAUUCACCGGAAUACUGAACUCACAAAGGAAAGAUAUUUUGGGC
This is a long non-coding RNA of Papio anubis (olive baboon), 3919 nucleotides long. The record is from Ensembl. Lineage: Eukaryota; Metazoa; Chordata; Mammalia; Primates; Cercopithecidae.